CAGCUCUCAUGCCACCGAUCCAUCCACCACGGCGCGAUCGAAACCAGAUCGGUCCACAACCCAUCCAGCCCGUCCAUCUCCCUAUCCGACGGCCGCCGCCGCCCCUGCGGCACGUGCUGCAUGCCGAGCCAAAGCCAGACAGCAGGCAGUGCCGAAAACUGCACCGUCUACCACUAUUCUACUCCCAUCCCGUAUAUAUUUACUACUCCGGCCUAAAUAAAUAAAUGCGGGCAUGAUGAUGAGGCAUAAAAAGCCAGCCAACGCACCAAAAGCCACCCUUCUUUAAUUUGCACCCUCCCCAAAUCUCCUCCUCCGCCCUCCCCAUCUCCGUCUCCUCCUCCUCCN
Molecule: long non-coding RNA, 345 nt
Filed under: Hordeum vulgare
Lineage: Eukaryota; Viridiplantae; Streptophyta; Magnoliopsida; Poales; Poaceae
Description: long non-coding RNA (HVUL_LNC017962)
Source: RNAcentral